Tribolium castaneum (red flour beetle) is the source of this 82-nucleotide non-coding RNA. RefSeq annotates it as microRNA mir-87a. The record is from RefSeq and is marked provisional. The transcript has a single exon. Lineage: Eukaryota; Metazoa; Arthropoda; Insecta; Coleoptera; Tenebrionidae.
CAGUCGUUGACGGGCUUGAAAUCUUGCUCUCCCGUGAUUAUUUCGUAAAGGGUGAGCAAAGUUUCAGGUGUGUCAAAGGCUU